ACCACGUGAUCUGGCGUCAUAGAUGUGCGCAAAGCAAGCAGCUCAGCCAUCUUUUAUUUUUAUUAUAUUAAUAAAAAGCUUUUUAAAGCGCGAUCGAUUGAUCCGCUGGAAGGUGUGAUAUGAUCUUCAUAGCCUGUAGUCUGAGACUAGAGAACCGAUUUGACUGCUUUGCAUCCACACCAUCUGUUUGUGGCAGGCUCUGGAAGUAAAUAGUCAUGACAGAGAGAAUAUUUGUGUUUGUUGAUGAAGAGGAGCUUUUCAGUGUGAUGAAGGACCUCGACUGUCUCUACUGUAGGAAUCCAGUUACUGCAUCUAAACAUCACCUCAAAAAAAGACAUCUCAGAUUCGCUAUAUAUUAUAAAGAUUCUGGCAUUGGGAAGUUUUCUAUCCCCUGUUACUGUGCGGACGGAGGCCAUGGCCGGAGCCACUGGCAUUGCCCAAUGUGCACCAAAAUACUGCAAAGGACAAAGGAUUACAAAAUACAUAUUACCAACCAUGGUGUUGAGAUGACAGACCAAUCCACAGUUGAGCUACAACCCUCGACCGUCCUGUUGGAGACCCUGCAAACAGACCCUGACGACAGGACAACAGGCAACAAGUCCUCCUGCCAGAAGUGUGGAGUCCACUUCACCACCACAUCAAACCUGCGACGGCACGAGAGGCUCCAGCACUGCCAGGACCAGCAGCCCAUGCUAUGCGUAGAUGCCAAAAACGCCAUCUAUGUCACACCCAAGGACACACACGGACCCCAGGUGCCCGUUCAUAUCCGGAAAUCCUUCUCCUUACAGAUCCUGCUCUGUGAGCUGGAGGAAUGCUGGGAUUUCAUGAAAGCGCAGGCGCAGAGAGGAAACCCAGGGAGAGAGUGCCGUCACCUGAUGAGGACGAACCUCGCUCGCCCCUACACGCCCCCCCCGCCGCUGUGUGUGCGCUCUCUGGAGGACAUGACACGCAAACACCUGCUGUCCACGCCACACACACAGCAGUGCCAGGAGAUUCACUCCAGGGCGGGUUUGGACGGGGUCGAUUGCGUGUACCCUGUGUUUUGGGGGGGGCACGAGCUCUCCGAGAGAUGCGUGUACUUCUCUGUGUACACCGGGCUUAAGGACAAAUGGUGUCAGUUCGGGAGGACGCGCGUGUCGUUCGACACCAGGUCCGGCAGCUGGAAGUGCCUGUGUGACUUCAGGAAGAGCCGCUGCGUACACAAGUGCUUGGCCAUGUGGUGGCUCUUCCAGGAGCGUCCCGAGCUGCUGGGAAACGCCCUGGAUACGAGCGCUGAUGGUGUGGGGGGGCUGGAGGAGGAGGACGGGGUUCAACUGUGUCCAGAGGAGGGGGACAACAUCUGCUAGUGUCAUCCGUCACAACUACAGUCUCCGUCAAGACGGCACAACAUUCUCGGUGUCUACAUGGUCCUGAGCAGAUCUUGCUAUGAGUGCCAAAGCAGAGCUGGACGUCCCGCCGCACGAUGCCGACGCUCCCUCCGAGAGCAGCGUCCCGCACGCUCACACCGACGGCUCCUCGCACCGCCUCAAACCCCUCGAUACUGCCACUAUCAUUUUUCCAGCUUCUGCUCAUUCGUUGCCAAAAGUGGAGCUGCCUCAAAAUGCAAUCAGGGCAAUUAAAGGGAGUGAACUGGAGGCCGCAUCACUUCCUGCUCAGGUCGGAGGGACUAUCGUCCAUGUUCUGGGCUGGAAGGAGGGAGUCGCGAUCCUCCCGGGAAGCAAUCUGAAGCUAUGUGUUAGUGAUACUGGUUCGCUGGAAGUGAUCAGUGAAGGGAAAAUAGGCUCUGCUAACCUGACCACCGGAGGAGUUCAGACAAAAUCAGCUGAUAUGGAGCUCAAACAGGGUGAAAAAUCAGGUAAUUUUUCAUUAGAUGCCUCUGGAUUAUU
This is an RNA transcript of Rhinichthys klamathensis goyatoka, 1886 nucleotides long. RefSeq lists it as uncharacterized. The transcript has 9 exons. Lineage: Eukaryota; Metazoa; Chordata; Actinopteri; Cypriniformes; Leuciscidae. The record is from RefSeq and is a predicted model, not a curated record.